This 492-nucleotide ribosomal RNA is filed under the name uncultured bacterium. RNAcentral describes it as "partial 16S ribosomal RNA". It matches the Rfam family "Bacterial small subunit ribosomal RNA", at positions 29 to 507 of the family's 1533-position model. The record is from RNAcentral.
AGUGAACGCUGGCGGUAGGCCUAACACAUGCAAGUCGAACGGCAGCACAGUAAGAGCUUGCUCUUACGGGUGGCGAGUGGCGGACGGGUGAGGAAUACAUCGGAAUCUACUUUUUCGUGGGGGAUAACGUAGGGAAACUUACGCUAAUACCGCAUACGACCUACGGGUGAAAGCAGGGGAUCUUCGGACCUUGCGCGAUUGAAUGAGCCGAUGUCGGAUUAGCUAGUUGGCGGGGUAAAGGCCAACCAAGGCGACGAUCCGUAGCUGGUCUGAGAGGAUGAUCGGCCACACUGGAACUUGAACACGGUCCAUACUCCUACGGGAGGCAGCAGUGGGGAAUAUUGGACAAUGGGCGCAAGCCUGAUCCAGCCAUACCGCGUGGGUGAAGAAGGCCUUCGGGUUGUAAAGCCCUUUUGUUGGGAAAGAAAAGCAGCAGGUUAAUACCCCGCUGUUCUGACGGUACCCAAAGAAUAAGCACCGGCUAACUUCGUG